This 472-nucleotide ribosomal RNA is filed under the name uncultured bacterium. RNAcentral describes it as "partial 16S ribosomal RNA". It matches the Rfam family "Bacterial small subunit ribosomal RNA", at positions 30 to 507 of the family's 1533-position model. The record is from RNAcentral.
AGUGAACGCUGGCGGUAGGCCUAACACAUGCAAGUCGAACGGCAGCACAGUAAGAGCUUGCUCUUACGGGUGGCGAGUGGCGGACGGGUGAGGAAUACAUCGGAAUCUACUUUUUCGUGGGGGAUAACGUAGGGAAACUUACGCUAAUACCGCAUACGACCUACGGGUGAAAGCAGGGGAUCUUCGGACCUUGCGCGAUUGAAUGAGCCGAUGUCGGAUUAGCUAGUUGGCGGGGUAGGGGCCCACCAAGGCGACGAUCCGUAGCUGGUCUGAGAGGAUGACCGGAAACAGUGGGACUGAGAGAGGGCCCAGACGCCUACGGGAGGAAGAAGGGGGGAAUAUGGAACAAUGGGCGGAAGAAGGAGGCAGCAACGCAGCGUGCGGGAUGACGGACUGAGGGUUGUAAAACGAUUUCGCCUGUGAAGAAGCGUGAGUGAAGGGAAUGGGUAAAGAAGAACCGGCUAACUACGUG